This 253-nucleotide ribosomal RNA is filed under the name uncultured bacterium. RNAcentral's name for it is "partial 16S ribosomal RNA". It matches the Rfam family "Bacterial small subunit ribosomal RNA", at positions 524 to 776 of the family's 1533-position model. The record is from RNAcentral.
UACGAAGGGGGCUAGCGUUGUUCGGAUUUACUGGGCGUAAAGCGCACGUAGGCGGAUCGUUAAGUCUGGGGUGAAAUCCUGGAGCUCAACUCCAGAACUGCCUUCGAUACUGGCGAUCUUGAGUCCGGAAGAGGUGAGUGGAACUCCUAGUGUAGAGGUGGAAUUCGUAGAUAUUAGGAAGAACACCAGUGGCGAAGGCGGCUCACUGGUCCGGUACUGACGCUGAGGUGCGAAAGCGUGGGGAGCAAACAGG